UGGUUCCGGCAUNGAUGAAGAACGCAGCGAAAUGCGAUAAGUAAUGUGAAUUGCAGAAUUCAGUGAAUCAUCGAAUCUUUGAACGCACAUUGCGCCCUUUGGCAUUCCGAGGGGCAUGCCCGUCCGAGCGUCAUUUCAAACGUCAGGCUCGGCCUGGUAUUGGGCGCGGUCUCGUCGACCCGCCCGCAACCCGUUGAGCGGUACCGCCUGGCCCCGAGCGUAGCAAGAACCCCACUCGCUCUCGAGGGCCGCGGCGGCGCCCGCCGGUGAACGAUCCACCUAGAGUUUGACCUCGGAUCGGGUAGGGAUACCCGCUGA
RNAcentral lists this unclassified non-coding RNA (318 nucleotides) under uncultured fungus. Its description in RNAcentral is "partial contains 5.8S ribosomal RNA and internal transcribed spacer 2". The stretch from base 1 to 133 matches the Rfam family "5.8S ribosomal RNA", at positions 22 to 154 of the family's 154-position model. The record is from RNAcentral. Lineage: Eukaryota; Fungi.